UGAAAUCUCGAAGCUCAACUUCGAAACUGCGUCUGAAACUGCUAGUCUAGAGUGUCGGAGGGGGAAGGGGAAUUUCACGUGUAGGGGUAAAAUCCGUAGAGAUGUGAAGGAACACCGGGGGCGAAGGCGCCUUCCUGGACGACUACUGACGCUGAGGCGCGAAAGCGUGGGGAGCAAACAGGAUUAAAUACCCUGGUAGUCCACACCAUAAACAAUGAACACUAGUUAUUGGGGGUAUUGACUCCCUCAGUGACGCAGCUAACGCAUUAAG
RNAcentral lists this ribosomal RNA (271 nucleotides) under uncultured Peredibacter sp. Its description in RNAcentral is "partial 16S ribosomal RNA". It matches the Rfam family "Bacterial small subunit ribosomal RNA", at positions 595 to 864 of the family's 1533-position model. Lineage: Bacteria; Pseudomonadati; Bdellovibrionota; Bacteriovoracia; Bacteriovoracales; Bacteriovoracaceae. The record is from RNAcentral.